RNAcentral lists this ribosomal RNA (800 nucleotides) under Macrococcoides caseolyticum. RNAcentral describes it as "bacterial SSU rRNA". It matches the Rfam family "Bacterial small subunit ribosomal RNA", at positions 57 to 839 of the family's 1533-position model. The record is from RNAcentral. Lineage: Bacteria; Bacillati; Bacillota; Bacilli; Caryophanales; Staphylococcaceae.
GCAGUCGAGCGACGGACGAGAGUGCUUGCACUCUCUGAUGUUAGCGGCGGACGGGUGAGUAACACGUGGGUAACCUACCUAUAAGACUGGGAUAACUUCGGGAAACCGGAGCUAAUACCGGAUAAUAUUUAGCUUCGCAUGAAGCAAUAGUGAAAGACGGUUCUGCUGUCACUUAUAGAUGGACCCGCGGUGUAUUAGCUAGUUGGUGAGGUAACGGCUCACCAAGGCAACGAUACAUAGCCGACCUGAGAGGGUGAUCGGCCACACUGGGACUGAGACACGGCCCAGACUCCUACGGGAGGCAGCAGUAGGGAAUCUUCCGCAAUGGACGAAAGUCUGACGGAGCAACGCCGCGUGAGUGAAGAAGGUUUUCGGAUCGUAAAACUCUGUUGUAAGGGAAGAACAAGUACGUUAGUAACUGAACGUACCUUGACGGUACCUUACCAGAAAGCCACGGCUAACUACGUGCCAGCAGCCGCGGUAAUACGUAGGUGGCAAGCGUUAUCCGGAAUUAUUGGGCGUAAAGCGCGCGUAGGCGGUCUCUUAAGUCUGAUGUGAAAGCCCCCGGCUCAACCGGGGAGGGUCAUUGGAAACUGGGAGACUUGAGUGCAGAAGAGGAGAGUGGAAUUCCAUGUGUAGCGGUGAAAUGCGCAGAGAUAUGGAGGAACACCAGUGGCGAAGGCGGCUCUCUGGUCUGUAACUGACGCUGAGGUGCGAAAGCGUGGGGAUCAAACAGGAUUAGAUACCCUGGUAGUCCACGCCGUAAACGAUGAGUGCUAAGUGUUGGGGGGUUUCCGCCC